RNAcentral lists this ribosomal RNA (383 nucleotides) under uncultured eukaryote. RNAcentral's name for it is "SSU rRNA". It matches the Rfam family "Eukaryotic small subunit ribosomal RNA", at positions 587 to 972 of the family's 1831-position model. The record is from RNAcentral.
AGCUCCAAUAGCGUAUAUUAGUGUUGUUGCGGUUAAAAAGCUCGUAGUUGAAUUUCGGGAUUGGGAUAUAUCGAUCAUGGCUUUAGGGACAUGAAUCGGUGUGUGGUCAAUUCUCACCUUCUGGUGAAUCGGGAUGCCCUCGGGUGUUUCGGUGAACCAGGACUUUUACUUUGAAAAAAUUAGAGUGUUUAAAGCGGGCAUUUUUGCUUGAAUAUAUUAGCAUGGAAUAAUAAAAUAGGACGAUGGUUCUAUUUUGUUGGUUUUAGGACCACGUAAAGAUUAAUAGGGAUAGUUGGGGGCAUUAGUAUUCAAUAGUCAGAGGUGAAAUUCUUGGAUUUAUUGAGGACUAACUACUGCGAAAGCAUUUGCCAAGGAUGUUUUCA